RNAcentral lists this ribosomal RNA (2930 nucleotides) under Escherichia coli. Its description in RNAcentral is "23S ribosomal RNA". It matches the Rfam family "Bacterial large subunit ribosomal RNA". The record is from RNAcentral. Lineage: Bacteria; Pseudomonadati; Pseudomonadota; Gammaproteobacteria; Enterobacterales; Enterobacteriaceae.
GGGUUGUGAGGUUAAGCGACUAAGCGUACACGGUGGAUGCCCUGGCAGUCAGAGGCGAUGAAGGACGUGCUAAUCUGCGAUAAGCGUCGGUAAGGUGAUAUGAACCGUUAUAACCGGCGAUUUCCGAAUGGGGAAACCCAGUGUGUUUCGACACACUAUCAUUAACUGAAUCCAUAGGUUAAUGAGGCGAACCGGGGGAACUGAAACAUCUAAGUACCCCGAGGAAAAGAAAUCAACCGAGAUUCCCCCAGUAGCGGCGAGCGAACGGGGAGCAGCCCAGAGCCUGAAUCAGUGUGUGUGUUAGUGGAAGCGUCUGGAAAGGCGCGCGAUACAGGGUGACAGCCCCGUACACAAAAAUGCACAUAUUGUGAGCUCGAUGAGUAGGGCGGGACACGUGGUAUCCUGUCUGAAUAUGGGGGGACCAUCCUCCAAGGCUAAAUACUCCUGACUGACCGAUAGUGAACCAGUACCGUGAGGGAAAGGCGAAAAGAACCCCGGCGAGGGGAGUGAAAAAGAACCUGAAACCGUGUACGUACAAGCAGUGGGAGCACGCUUAGGCGUGUGACUGCGUACCUUUUGUAUAAUGGGUCAGCGACUUAUAUUCUGUAGCAAGGUUAACCGAAUAGGGGAGCCGAAGGGAAACCGAGUCUUAACUGGGCGUUAAGUUGCAGGGUAUAGACCCGAAACCCGGUGAUCUAGCCAUGGGCAGGUUGAAGGUUGGGUAACACUAACUGGAGGACCGAACCGACUAAUGUUGAAAAAUUAGCGGAUGACUUGUGGCUGGGGGUGAAAGGCCAAUCAAACCGGGAGAUAGCUGGUUCUCCCCGAAAGCUAUUUAGGUAGCGCCUCGUGAAUUCAUCUCCGGGGGUAGAGCACUGUUUCGGCAAGGGGGUCAUCCCGACUUACCAACCCGAUGCAAACUGCGAAUACCGGAGAAUGUUAUCACGGGAGACACACGGCGGGUGCUAACGUCCGUCGUGAAGAGGGAAACAACCCAGACCGCCAGCUAAGGUCCCAAAGUCAUGGUUAAGUGGGAAACGAUGUGGGAAGGCCCAGACAGCCAGGAUGUUGGCUUAGAAGCAGCCAUCAUUUAAAGAAAGCGUAAUAGCUCACUGGUCGAGUCGGCCUGCGCGGAAGAUGUAACGGGGCUAAACCAUGCACCGAAGCUGCGGCAGCGACGCUUAUGCGUUGUUGGGUAGGGGAGCGUUCUGUAAGCCUGCGAAGGUGUGCUGUGAGGCAUGCUGGAGGUAUCAGAAGUGCGAAUGCUGACAUAAGUAACGAUAAAGCGGGUGAAAAGCCCGCUCGCCGGAAGACCAAGGGUUCCUGUCCAACGUUAAUCGGGGCAGGGUGAGUCGACCCCUAAGGCGAGGCCGAAAGGCGUAGUCGAUGGGAAACAGGUUAAUAUUCCUGUACUUGGUGUUACUGCGAAGGGGGGACGGAGAAGGCUAUGUUGGCCGGGCGACGGUUGUCCCGGUUUAAGCGUGUAGGCUGGUUUUCCAGGCAAAUCCGGAAAAUCAAGGCUGAGGCGUGAUGACGAGGCACUACGGUGCUGAAGCAACAAAUGCCCUGCUUCCAGGAAAAGCCUCUAAGCAUCAGGUAACAUCAAAUCGUACCCCAAACCGACACAGGUGGUCAGGUAGAGAAUACCAAGGCGCUUGAGAGAACUCGGGUGAAGGAACUAGGCAAAAUGGUGCCGUAACUUCGGGAGAAGGCACGCUGAUAUGUAGGUGAAGUCCCUUGCGGAUGGAGCUGAAAUCAGUCGAAGAUACCAGCUGGCUGCAACUGUUUAUUAAAAACACAGCACUGUGCAAACACGAAAGUGGACGUAUACGGUGUGACGCCUGCCCGGUGCCGGAAGGUUAAUUGAUGGGGUUAGCGCAAGCGAAGCUCUUGAUCGAAGCCCCGGUAAACGGCGGCCGUAACUAUAACGGUCCUAAGGUAGCGAAAUUCCUUGUCGGGUAAGUUCCGACCUGCACGAAUGGCGUAAUGAUGGCCAGGCUGUCUCCACCCGAGACUCAGUGAAAUUGAACUCGCUGUGAAGAUGCAGUGUACCCGCGGCAAGACGGAAAGACCCCGUGAACCUUUACUAUAGCUUGACACUGAACAUUGAGCCUUGAUGUGUAGGAUAGGUGGGAGGCUUUGAAGUGUGGACGCCAGUCUGCAUGGAGCCGGCCUUGAAAUACCACCCUUUAAUGUUUGAUGUUCUAACGUUGACCCGUGAUCCGGGUUGCGGACAGUGUCUGGUGGGUAGUUUGACUGGGGCGGUCUCCUCCUAAAGAGUAACGGAGGAGCACGAAGGUUGGCUAAUCCUGGUCGGACAUCAGGAGGUUAGUGCAAUGGCAUAAGCCAGCUUGACUGCGAGCGUGACGGCGCGAGCAGGUGCGAAAGCAGGUCAUAGUGAUCCGGUGGUUCUGAAUGGAAGGGCCAUCGCUCAACGGAUAAAAGGUACUCCGGGGAUAACAGGCUGAUACCGCCCAAGAGUUCAUAUCGACGGCGGUGUUUGGCACCUCGAUGUCGGCUCAUCACAUCCUGGGGCUGAAGUAGGUCCCAAGGGUAUGGCUGUUCGCCAUUUAAAGUGGUACGCGAGCUGGGUUUAGAACGUCGUGAGACAGUUCGGUCCCUAUCUGCCGUGGGCGCUGGAGAACUGAGGGGGGCUGCUCCUAGUACGAGAGGACCGGAGUGGACGCAUCACUGGUGUUCGGGUUGUCAUGCCAAUGGCACUGCCCGGUAGCUAAAUGCGGAAGAGAUAAGUGCUGAAAGCAUCUAAGCACGAAACUUGCCCCGAGAUGAGUUCUCCCUGACUCCUUGAGAGUCCUGAAGGAACGUUGAAGACGACGACGUUGAUAGGCCGGGUGUGUAAGCGCAGCGAUGCGUUGAGCUAACCGGUACUAAUGAACCGUGAGGCUUAACCUUACAACGCCGAAGCUGUU